Molecule: ribosomal RNA, 677 nt
Filed under: uncultured bacterium
Lineage: Bacteria
Description: bacterial SSU rRNA
Rfam family: Bacterial small subunit ribosomal RNA
Source: RNAcentral
AUUGAACGCUGGCGGCAUGCCUUACACAUGCAAGUCGAACGGCAGCACGGACUUCGGUCUGGUGGCGAGUGGCGAACGGGAGAGUAAUGUAUCGGAACGUACCUUUCAGUGGGGGAUAACGUAGCGAAAGUUACGCUAAUACCGCAUAUUCUGUGAGCAGGAAAGCAGGGGAUCGCAAGACCUUGCGCUGAUUGAGCGGCCGAUAUCAGAUUAGCUAGUUGGUGAGGUAAAGGCUCACCAAGGCGACGAUCUGUAGCGGGUCUGAGAGGAUGAUCCGCCACACUGGAACUGAGACACGGUCCAGACUCCUACGGGAGGCAGCAGUGGGGAAUUUUGGACAAUGGGGGCAACCCUGAUCCAGCCAUCCCGCGUGAGUGAAGAAGGCCUUCGGGUUGUAAAGCUCUUUCGGCCGGGAAGAAAUCGCAUGGGCUAAUACCCUGUGCGGAUGACGGUACCGGCAUAAGAAGCACCGGCUAACUACGUGCCAGCAGCCGCGGUAAUACGUAGGGUGCGAGCGUUAAUCGGAAUUACUGGGCGUAAAGCGUGCGCAGGCGGUUUUUUAAGACAGGCGCGAAAUCCCCGGGCUCAACCUGGGAACUGCGCUUGUGACUGGAAGGCUAGAGUAUGGCAGAGGGGGGUGGAAUUCCACGUGUAGCAGUGAAAUGCGUAGAGAUGUG